AGUGAACGCUGGCGGUAGGCCUAACACAUGCAAGUCGAACGGCAGCACAGUAAGAGCUUGCUCGUACGGGUGGCGAGUGGCGGGCGGGUGAGGAAUACAUCGGAAUCUACUUUUUCGUGGGGGAUAACGUAGGGAAACUUACGCUAAUACCGCAUACGACCUACGGGUGAAAGCAGGGGAUCUUCGGACCUUGCGCGAUUGAAUGAGCCGAUGUCGGAUUAGCUAGUUGGCGGGGUAAAGGCCCACCAAGGCGACGAUCCGUAGCUGGUCUGAGAGGAUGAUCAGCCACACUGGAACUGAGACACGGUCCAGACUCCUACGGGAGGCAGCAGUGGGGAAUAUUGGACAAUGGGCGCAAGCCUGAUCCAGCCAUACCGCGUGGGUGAAGAAGGCCUUCGGGUUGUAAAGCCCUUUUGUUGGGAAAGAAAAGCAGCAGGUUAAUACCCCGCUGUUCUGACGGUACCCAAAGAAUAAGCACCGCCUAACUUCGUG
Molecule: ribosomal RNA, 492 nt
Filed under: uncultured bacterium
Lineage: Bacteria
Description: partial 16S ribosomal RNA
Rfam family: Bacterial small subunit ribosomal RNA
Source: RNAcentral